CCCUUAGAUGUCCUGGGCCGCACGCGUGCUACACUGACGCAUACAGCGAGUACUCCCGGCUCCGCAAUGGCAGCUGGUAAUCAUCAAUAUGCGUCGUGAUGGGGAUAGAUCUCUGGAAUUUUCGAUCUUGAACGAGGAAUGCCUAGUAAGCGCAGGUCAUCAGCCUGCGUUGGUUAAGUCCCUGCCCUUUGUACACACCGCCCGUCGCUCCUACCGAUUUCGAGUGGUCCGGUGAACCUUUCGGACCGGGAGCAGCCUCGUGCUGCGCCUGGAAAGUCAAGUAAACCACAUCACUUAGAGGAAGGAGAAGUCGUAACA
RNAcentral lists this ribosomal RNA (318 nucleotides) under uncultured eukaryote. RNAcentral's name for it is "partial 18S ribosomal RNA". It matches the Rfam family "Eukaryotic small subunit ribosomal RNA", at positions 1470 to 1796 of the family's 1831-position model. The record is from RNAcentral.